AAAAGCUAAUAAAGGGCGUAUGGUGGAUGCCUUGGCUCUGAGAGGCGAAGAAGGACGUGAUAAGCUGCGAUAAGCUGCGGGAAUUGGCACAUACAAAUUGAUCCGCAGAUUUCCGAAUGGGGAAACCUAUCAUAUGAAUUUUUAUGUGAUAUUACUUUAACGUAAGGCGAACCUAGAGAACUGAAACAUCUAAGUAUCUAGAGGAAAAGAAAACAAUAGUGAUUCUGUUAGUAGUGGCGAGCGAAAAUGGAAUAGCCCAAACCGUUUUAGUCUAGGCUAUAACGGGGUUGUAGGUCUACUAUAAAAGACUAUUUUUCUAUAGCAGAAUGAUUUGGAAAAAUCAAUCAUAGAAGGUGAUAAUCCUGUAUGCGAAAUAGAAAAAUUACAAAAGUAGUCACCUGAUUAGGACGGGACACGGGAAAUCUUGUCUGAAUUUGCCGGGACCAUCCGGUAAGGCUAAAUACUACUCAGAGACCGAUAGUGAACUAGUACCGUGAGGGAAAGGUGAAAAGUACUUCGAAUAGAAGGGUGAAAUAGAUCCUGAAACCAUACGCUUACAAACUGUCGGAGCUUUUUUAUAAAGUGACGGCGUGCCUUUUGCAUAAUGAACCUACGAGUUAAUUUUUUUCGGCAAGGUUAAGUAGUUCAGCUAUGGAGCCGUAGCGAAAGCGAGUCUGAAUAGGGCGUAUAGUCGGAAGAAUUAGACGCGAAACCGAGUGAUCUAUCCAUGAGCAGGUUGAAGCUGUGGUAACACAUAGUGAAGGACCGAACCGGUUGACGUUGAAAAGUCUUCGGAUGACUUGUGGAUAGGGGUGAAAGGCCAAUCAAACUCGGAGAUAGCUCGUACUCCCCGAAAUGCAUUUAGGUGCAGCAUCGUGUUAAAUAAUACAGAGGUAGAGCUACUGAUUGGAUGAAGGGGUUUCAUCACCUACUUAUUCCUGACAAACUCCGAAUGCUGUUAUUAUGUUUCACGGUAGUGAGGGCAUGGGUGCUAAGGUCCAUGUCCAAAAGGGAAACAACCCAGAUCAUCAGUUAAGGCCCCUAAGUAUAUAUUAAGUUGAACAAACGAGGUUUAGUUACUAAAACAGCUAGGAUGUUAGCUUGGAAGCAGCUAUUCAUUUAAAGAGUGCGUAACAGCUCACUAGUCAAGUGAUUAAGCAUGGAUAAUAAUCGGGCAUAAAUAUAUCGCCGAAACUAUGGGAUUGAUUAAUUAAUCAAUCGGUAGGGGAGCAUUGUAAUGGCAAAGAAGCUAUGUUGUAAGAUGUAGUGGAGCUUUUACAAAAGAAAAUGUAGGUAUAAGUAACGAUAAUACGGGUGAAAAACCCGUACACCGAAAAACUAAGGGUUCCUCAGCUAUGUUAAUCAACUGAGGGUUAGUCGGUUCCUAAGGUAAAAUCGAAAGGUGUAAUCGAUGGAAAACCGGUUAAUAUUCCGGUACUUGCUUUUAUUGCGAUGGGGGGACGGAGGAAUGAAACUGUCGCGUACGUACGGAUGUGUACGUUAAAGUAGCUAGGUAUAAAAUAUAUUGGAAAAUCCGUAUAUUUUGCUAAUCUACGAUAGUACCACAAGUCUUAGGAUAAGUGGAUAGUGCAGGUAAGAACUUCCAAGAAAAGCCUCUAAGCUUCAGAUAAAAGUAAUCCGUACCAAAACCGACACAGGUAGUUGAGGAGAGUAUCCUAAGGUGCUCGAGUGAUUCAUGGCUAAGGAACUAGGCAAAAUAAACCUGUAACUUCGGGAGAAAGGUAGCCUUCUUUAGGGAAGGUCGCAGCGAAGAGAUCCAGGCGACUGUUUAUCAAAAACAUAGGACUCUGCUAAAUUGAAAAAUGACGUAUAGGGUCUGACACCUGCCCAGUACUGGAAGGUUAAAGAAAAAGGUUAGCUUCGGCAAAGCUUUUGACUGAAGCCCCAGUAAACGGCGGCCGUAACUAUAACGGUCCUAAGGUAGCGAAAUUCCUUGUCGGGUAAGUUCCGACCUGCACGAAUGGUGUAACGAUCUGGAAACUGUCUCAGCCAUGAGCUCGGUGAAAUUGUAAUAUCGGUGAAGAUGCCGAUUACUCGCAAUGGGACGAAAAGACCCUGUGAACCUUUACUAUAGCUUCGUAUUGAUUUUGAUUAAAAAAUGUGUAGGAUAGGUGGGAAACUUUGAAACAUUGUCGCUAGGCAAUGUGGAGUUGUCCUUGAAAUACCACCCUUUUUUUAAUUGAAAUCUAACUCGAUUAAAAAAAUUGAGAACAUUGCGUGGUGGGUAGUUUGACUGGGGUGGUCGCCUCCAAAAAGGUAACGGAGGCUCCCAAAGGUACCCUCAACACGUUUGGUAAUCGUGUGUAGAGUGUAAUGGCAUAAGGGUGCUUGACUGUGAGACUUACAAGUCGAUCAGGUACGAAAGUAGGGCAUAGUGAUCCGGUGGUUCCGUAUGGAAGGGCCAUCGCUCAAAGGAUAAAAGGUACUCCGGGGAUAACAGGCUAGUCUCCCCCAAGAGCUCACAUCGACGGGGAGGUUCGGCACCUCGAUGUCGGCUCGUCACAUCCUGGGGCUGAAGAAGGUCCCAAGGGUUGGGCUGUUCGCCCAUUAAAGUGGCACGCGAGCUGGGUUCAGAACGUCGUGAGACAGUUCGGUCUCUAUCUAUUGCGAGCGUUAGAAGCUUGAGUGGACCUGAUUCUAGUACGAGAGGACCGAAUUGGACGAACCUCUGGUGUAUCAGUUGUAUCGCCAGGUGCAUCGCUGAGUAGCUAUGUUCGGAAGAGAUAAGCACUGAAAGCAUAUAAGUGCGAAACUCACCACAAGAUUAGGCUUCUUUUAUUUUUUUUAUUUAAGGGUCGUUGAAGAUGACAACGUUGAUAGGCUAUAGGUGUAAAGAUAGUAAUGUCAUAGCCGAGUAGUACUAAUUACCCGUAAGCUUUUUAUC
This 2905-nucleotide ribosomal RNA is filed under the name Blattabacterium sp. (Blaberus giganteus). RNAcentral describes it as "23S ribosomal RNA". It matches the Rfam family "Bacterial large subunit ribosomal RNA". The record is from RNAcentral. Lineage: Bacteria; Pseudomonadati; Bacteroidota; Flavobacteriia; Flavobacteriales; Blattabacteriaceae.